GUUGAACGCUGGCGGUAUGCUUAACACAUGCAAGUCGAACGAUGAGAAAGAGCUUGCUCUUUCGAUUAGUGGCGGACGGGUGCGUAACGCGUAGGAAUCUACCUAUUAGUGGGGGACAACUUAGGGAAACUUAAGCUAAUACCGCAUACGCCCUACGGGGGAAAGAAGGGGAUCGCAAGACCUUUUGCUAAUAGAUGAGCCUGCGUAGGAUUAGCUAGUUGGUGGGGUAAAAGCUCACCAAGGCGACGAUCCUUAACUGGUUUGAGAGAAUGAUCAGUCACACUGGAACUGAGACACGGUCCAGACUCCUACGGGAGGCAGCAGUGGGGAAUAUUGGACAAUGGGCGAAAGCCUGAUCCAGCAAUACCGCGUGUGUGAAGAAAGCCUUAGGGUUGUAAAGCACUUUCAAUUGGAAGGAAAACCUCGAAGCUAAUACCUUCGAGUUUGACAUUACCUUUAGAAGAAGCACCGGCUAACUCCGUGCCAGCCGCCGCGGUAA
Molecule: ribosomal RNA, 499 nt
Filed under: uncultured bacterium
Lineage: Bacteria
Description: partial 16S ribosomal RNA
Rfam family: Bacterial small subunit ribosomal RNA
Source: RNAcentral